Molecule: ribosomal RNA, 856 nt
Filed under: Thelazia callipaeda (thelaziosis nematode)
Lineage: Eukaryota; Metazoa; Nematoda; Chromadorea; Rhabditida; Thelaziidae
Description: eukaryotic LSU rRNA
Rfam family: Eukaryotic large subunit ribosomal RNA
Source: RNAcentral
GAUUUUCUUAGUAACGGCGAGUGAAAAGAAAAAAGCCCAGCGCUGAAUCCAAAAUAAUUUUUAUGAUUAUUUGGAGUUGUAGCGUAUAGGUGUAGUAUAAUUUUAAUCAUUUCAUUGUCUUAUACCCAAAGUCCCCUUGAGCGGGGCAACAGUCCAUAGAAGGUGCUAGACCUGUACGGGUAAAGUUUGAAAUGAUGUAUACUAUUCCUUGGAGUCGGGUUGUUUGAGAUUGCAGCCCAAAGAGGGUGGUAAACCUCAUCUAAGGCUAAAUACGACCACGAGACCGAUAGCAAACAAGUACCGUGAGGGAAAGUUGCAAAGAACUUUGAAGAGAGAGUUCAAGAGGGCGUGAAACCGCUGAGAUGGAAACGGAUAGAGUUAACAAAACUUUACUCAUAUUCAGCCAAUUUUUAUAGCUCAUUUAUUGCAAUUAUUUUGUAUGAAAUGUAUGCAAGUACAUGUAAGUGCAAAUGUAUUGCAAAAUAAGUGUAUCAAAAGAUAUAAAAAAUUGGUGUAUUUAUGAGUAGUAUGCAUCGAGUACUUCGUUUUAAUGCAUAAAGAGUAUAUAAUUUAGAGGACUAUUGUGUAAAAAUUUAUGCAAAUAAAUUUUUAAAUAGAAACCUGAAUUGUAUAUGAAAUAUGUCAAUAAUGAAGUAUGAUAACCAUCAUUGCUUGUAAUGUAUUUGUAAGGCUAUUAUUAGCAAGUAUUUAAUGUAUAAUAAUUAACAAGUGAUGUAGCAUUAAUCGCAUGCGAUUAUGUUAACAAAAAUAUUGUUGAUGAAUACAUUUAAAUGCAUGUAUCAAAUAUGCUUAAUAGCUGUUAUAAAACAAAUACAUGUGUAUCGUAAUGAUAAAC